RNAcentral lists this ribosomal RNA (541 nucleotides) under Aprion virescens. RNAcentral's name for it is "partial large subunit ribosomal RNA". It matches the Rfam family "Bacterial large subunit ribosomal RNA", at positions 1913 to 2606 of the family's 2925-position model. Lineage: Eukaryota; Metazoa; Chordata; Actinopteri; Lutjaniformes; Lutjanidae. The record is from RNAcentral.
UGACUAUAUGUUUAACGGCCGCGGUAUUUUAACCGUGCGAAGGUAGCGCAAUCACUUGUCUUUUAAAUGAAGACCUGUAUGAAUGGCAUGACGAGGGCUUGACUGUCUCCUCUUUCAAGUCAAUGAAAUUGAUCUCCCCGUGCAGAAGCGGGGAUCUACCCAUAAGACGAGAAGACCCUAUGGAGCUUUAGACACUAAAGCAGAUCAUGUUAAGGACCCCAAAACAAAGGACUGAACUUAGUGACCCCUGCCCUAAUGUCUUUGGUUGGGGCGACCGCGGAGAGAAACAGAACCUCCGUGUGGAUUGAAAAUACUAUUUCUCACAGACAAGAGCUCCCGCUCUAACAAACAGAAUAUCUGACCAGUAAGAUCCGGCAAAGCCGAUUAACGGACCGAGUUACCCUAGGGAUAACAGCGCAAUCCUCUUUUAGAGCUCGUAUCGACAAGGGGGUUUACGACCUCGAUGUUGGAUCAGGACAUCCUAAUGGUGCAGCCGCUAUUAAGGGUUCGUUUGUUCAACGAUUAAAGUCCUACGUGAUCU